Molecule: transfer RNA, 68 nt
Filed under: Xenagama batillifera (Vaillants strange agama)
Lineage: Eukaryota; Metazoa; Chordata; Lepidosauria; Squamata; Agamidae
Also listed under: 2 other names
Source: RNAcentral
AGAAGCUUAGGAUAGAAAAACCAGUGACCUUCAACGUCACAAACAAGGGAUACAGCCCUUAGCUACUG